AGGUGACAGAGCUAGAUAUUUAUGUGGUGGGGGAGUCAGAAAUAAAUCAUUUUUACCCGUCUAUAACGUCCAUCCAGUUAUUGCAUAUUCUAUAUGGAUCAGAGACUAGGUAGAAUUACACCAUCAUGGCGGAUGAAUUUGCAUUUUGCUGAUGUAAAACAAUUUGACAUCAAAAAUAUAUCACAAAAUAUAGUUUUUUUCCAACAUUGUAUAUCAAAACAAUGUCAGAAGAAGAUGGGCCAUCUUCAAGUGGUAUUGGCAGCGAAAAGACGUUUUAUCAUCGCCGUAAUUUUGUCAGAAGUUAUGGAAUCUCGAUCGAUUCCAGCAAAAUUCACGAGGUUGCCUUCGAAGAGCAACCUGAGAAUUUGCGAGCGCUCGGAGUGAAUAUUUUUGAUCAAUCUGUAUUCGAGGAGGGCGUUUUACAACAAGUUGAUGAAGCUAUUGCUGUGCAGGAGGAAAUUUUUGAAAAAGAGAAGUUGAGAAAGAAGUUAAAGUCGGUUGAAGAUGAACUCAGAAAUGUUAAGCAAAAGCUCCAAAGACCAGGAAUAAAACAGCAUACAAAAGAAUCAAUGCUGAUUGAUGUUCAAAGACUUACACAAGAGGAAAAUGACAUUCUACAGAGCUUGCAGAAGUUUGAAAAAGGAAAAGAUUCAUGUCUGGGAGAUGAGGGUAUCAGCAUUCAAAAUGAACAAUCUGGGCAAAUUUCAAUUGACAGAGUUCUUCAUUCUGAAGCUCGUAAAGAAACAGAAGUUGAAAGACUUGUACGUUUGGGUGUGAUGACACCAUUUGGUAGCACAGUUGAAAAAUAUGACAGUGAUGCUGAGACAUUCAAUUCUAGCAGGAGUGAUGGUACCAAGUGUGGUGACAAUGCUGGUACCUCGGAUGAUGCUGGUAGAAUGAAACUAGAUGGAACUAAGAGCAAUCUUAAACAGAUUGAUACCAAUGAAGAUGAGGCCCUUCUUUCGUCAGACCCUGACAUUGAAAUCAAUGAACCCACAGUUGACAGUGACGAAGAAUAUAUCCCUAAUGAGGACGAUUUAAAGCUUAGUUUUCAAGAUGAUGAACAUGUCUUGCCCGAAGAUGACCUGGAAGAACCAAUUGGGGAGGCUUCCAUGGCAACCAAUAAAGUGCAAAUUCCUCAGAACAAAGCUGGUAAAAAGAGUAAAAGAAUGACGCAGUCUGUGAAGGAUGAUGGUGAUGAUAGGGCAUACAAGAUCAGAAUUAGGGAGUUCAAAUUUAAGAAAUCAUUGCGAGAGAAAGGCAUUGAUUAUGAAGGUCGAGAUGAGGAGGAAAACAGCUUCUGGGAUGAAGAGGGACCAGAUGAAGAAUUUGAUGGUGGCUUAAAGAUUCCUUCUGUUAUCUGGAACAAACUAUUCAGCUACCAAAAGACUGGGGUGAAGUGGUUAUGGGAGCUGCACACGCAACAAGCUGGAGGAAUAGUUGGAGAUGAAAUGGGUCUGGGAAAGACAAUUCAGAUUAUUGCAUUCCUAGCUGGGCUAAAGUACAGUAAUAUUGGCAGACGGGGUUCAAAGCAGAAUGGUUUUGGACCAGUUCUCAUAAUAUGUCCAGCAACAAUUCUGUUUCAAUGGGUGGCUGAAUUGCACAAGUGGUGGCCAGAGUUUCGUGUUGCAGUUUUGCAUGACACUGGUUCAUACAAGGGACCCAAGGACACCCUGAUAACCAGAAUCCGCAACGAACCAGGGAUUCUGCUGACCACAUACUCUGGUGUGAGAAUAAACCAAGAUCAUCUGUUGCAGUCCCGUUGGGAUUACAUCAUUUUAGAUGAAGGUCAUACCAUACGUAACCCAGAUGCUGAGGUCACGUUAACUUGCAAACAGUUUCGCACUCCGCAUCGUCUAGUGUUGUCAGGAUCACCAAUGCAGAACAACCUUCGUGAACUCUGGUCCCUCUUCGAUUUUGUUUAUCCUGGCAAGCUGGGAACGUUACCUGUGUUCAUGCAAGAGUUCUCAGUGCCAAUCACCAUGGGAGGAUAUUCAAAUGCCACACCGGUUCAGGUACAGACAGCGUUCAAAUGUGCGUGUGUUUUGAGGGACACAAUCAAUCCGUAUUUAUUGAGAAGAUUGAAGAAGGAUGUUAAAAAGAAAUUGGAUUUACCAAACAAAAACGAACAGGUACUGUUUUGUCGCCUUACUGAGGAACAGAUAGAAUUGUACAAAGAAUAUUUGGCUUCACGUGAUGUGGGAUCUAUUUUGUCCGGAAAUAUGAAGGUUUUCCCUGGUCUGAUAAUGUUGCGGAAGAUUUGCAAUCAUCCUGACCUAACCACCCCGGCCGGCUCUUUGUUGAAACUACGAAAAGACGAAGCGCAGCAGGAAAAUACGGAUAAGUGUCGCGAGAAAAAUGACAGCGAAUACGGGCAUUGGAAGCGAGCCGGCAAACUCAUUGUUGUUCAUUCCUUACUCAAGCUGUGGAAAAAACAAAAGCAUAAAGUAUUGCUUUUCACACAAACACGGCAGAUGUUGAAAAUUCUUGAAAUAUUUGUCAAAUCUCAAGGCUAUAAUUUUUGCAGAAUGGAUGGAUCAACUUCAAUCUCAUCUCGGCAGCCGUUGAUAGAGAAAUUUAAUAAGGAUUCGUCUAUUUUUGUGUUCCUCCUGACAACCCGUGUUGGUGGCCUGGGCGUGAACUUGAUCGGUGCGAAUCGCGUGAUCAUAUACGACCCAGACUGGAAUCCUGGUACCGACAUGCAAGCGCGGGAACGCGCGUGGCGAGUGGGACAGAGAAAGGAUGUCACGAUUUAUCGGUUGUUGACCACUGGCACUAUUGAGGAGAAGAUUUACCACAGACAAAUAUUCAAGCAGUUUUUGACAAAUCGUGUUUUAAAAGAUCCCAAACAACGACGUUUCUUCAAAUCAAAUGAUCUGUUUGAGCUGUUCACGUUGGACACGUCAGACAACUCGAAGUCUGGAACUGAAACCGGCGCCAUAUUUGCAGGUCUCGGCUGUGAGGUCGCUGUUCCCGCCAAAAAGAAAGGAACAAAGCGGAAGCACAGCGUAGGCGAUAAAAAUGUUUUAAAAGCUAUACAAGAACGGACGAAGGAAAUACUUCUGACCCAGUUCGCGUCUUCGAAGGAGAGCUGUGUUCAAGAGAGGAACGAAAUGGCGGACACUGAAAAAGAAGGGGAAAAUGUUCAAAGAAAUCUGAAUGAGCAAAGUUGUGAUGGAGUGAAAUUCGAGAGCAAAAUAAACAAUGAGAAAUUGAUCGAGACAUCGGAAGAGCGGGAAAGUUUCGGGGAUGCAUCGGAAUGCACUCGUUUACCUACGACGAACAAUCCGUCGAUCACCGGUGAAAGUUCGGAAAAAGCUACUGGCGGGAAAAUGUCGUCGAGCGAGAACGCUAAGGUUGAUGACGUUGAGAAGACUGGGUCUAGGGAAAGUUCUUUAAAUGAUAAAAUGACGAAAUCAUCACGAAAGAAAAGCAAGAAAAGGAAAAGAAAUAAAGUGGAAGGGAUGCAUAUUGGUCAACUGAGUCAUUCCGAACCAUACCGUCCAAGGCAAGGGCCUGAAGACGUUCCCGAUAAAAAUGCUGAUGAUGAUUACAUUUUAAGAAAGUUAUUCAAAAAAUCAGGUGUUCACAGUGCACUUCAACAUGACACCAUUGUGAAUUCGGGCAAUGCAGAUCAUGUUUUGGUGGAAAACGAGGCUAAACGAGUGGCCGCUCAGGCAGCUGAGGCUGUGAAACGUUCACGUGACCAUUGCCUGCAACUCAGAAACACUGGUCUACCUACAUGGACUGGACAGUCAGGUGUUGUUGGUUCGCCAUAUGGAAUGCAGGAAAGAACCUUGUUUGGUCCAAAGGCGAAGAAAGUUGAAAAGAAGGAAAAUUCUACAACCUUAUUCACUGGCAAGUCUUUAUUGCAAAACGAAAAGGAGAGUGAUUUGACAAAACCAGGUCUCGGGAGCCCUAUGUCCUCAACGCAAUUACUAGCCCGCAUGAGAGCACGCAAUUCUAUUGGUGGAACAAACGCCGGAAGUGACGUACAAUCUAGCGAACAAAAAUUAUGUUGUGAACUAAGUUUUGAAAACAAAACACCAAACACAGGAGUUACUACAAAAUAUAAUGCGGCUAUCAACAAUGUGUUUCCAAAAAUGUGUUAACAUUGUAAAAUGGGCUUAAACUAUUCACUAAGACUACUCUUUUUAGUUUUUGAGCAUAUUUGGUUUGUUUUUGGAAGAUUGAAAAAAUCAUCAUUUUUGGCAUGGUAAGGGCAUCCUUACCAUUUUAGCCAAAAUUGACGAAUUUUAAAAGUUUUCCAAAAAUGUGUUAACGUUGUGAAAAUGGCUUCAAAUAUUUGCUAAGACUAAUCUCUUUGGUUUUUGAGCAUAUUUGGUUUGUUUUUGGAACGUUGAAAAACCAUCAUUUUUCUUUUGGCAAGGUGCAAUCUUGUUUUUAACAUUUGUGGUACGAAUAUAUCAAAUACUAUAAGCUCUUUGAUAUGAUCGGGAAAUAUCUUUAAUUACUCACUUGUCCCAGCUGUAUUUGCGUUGGAGCAGGUUAAUAUUUACACAGGUUACAGUUUAGAUCGAAAUAUAAUUGCGUAGUUCAAAAUAGGUUUAAAAAAGACAAAAGAAACACUAAUUAAUUCUAUGUGUGAUGAGGAAGGCAAACGAGCGAAGAACCAUAGAAAAGCUUUAGUGAAAAAGAAAAGAUAACGAAAUUGGUGGCGAUCGAAGGUGGACAGCAAGAUCGAAGCUCAGCAAGAUUGAAGAUUGUUCGAGGAAGAAGGAGUUCGCCGUUGACUAAAAG
RNAcentral lists this unclassified non-coding RNA (4761 nucleotides) under Dendronephthya gigantea. RNAcentral's name for it is "dNA excision repair protein ERCC-6-like, transcript variant X2". The record is from RNAcentral. Lineage: Eukaryota; Metazoa; Cnidaria; Anthozoa; Malacalcyonacea; Nephtheidae.